Trematomus bernacchii (emerald rockcod) is the source of this 1796-nucleotide long non-coding RNA. RefSeq lists it as uncharacterized. The transcript is spliced from 3 exons. The record is from RefSeq and is a predicted model, not a curated record. Lineage: Eukaryota; Metazoa; Chordata; Actinopteri; Perciformes; Nototheniidae.
UUGUAUACCAGUUUAACACCGUUUACCGUAUGUAAGCUUUGUUAUUAAAAAGCCACAGAAGCUGUUUAUGUUUGGUGGACAUCCGACAAAGGGAAGGGCAUCAGACGAUAACAGAUCAAAUGUGAGAUAGAGGAGGAAUGAUGAAAGGGAACUUUAAAUAAAACAGGAUUUGUUGAUAAAUGAGGGGGGGGGGAAGUAAACAAAUGAAGACAAGGUAAUAAUGGAGACAAAAAUCAUAAAAACAAACAAGACAAUGAGUUUCACACAAAAUAAUUUAUUUUUUGUGUAAAGAAAAAAAAAAAAUCUGGAUUUAUGACAAAAUAUUUCUCUCUGCUUGCGGCAAACAGCCAUACAGUACGCCAACACUCAUGCAGCUAAAAUGAGAAUAAAGGGACAACAAAAUGGCUGCCAAACAGAAUGCAGUACUUGUCUUAUAAAUACUGCAUAAAUAAAAUAUUAAAAAAAAAAAAAAAAAAAAAAGUGAUGUAACUGUGGAAACGGUGUCACAACAAAACAGAAUACACACAUGUAAACAAACACAGAGGAACAGGAGAUACUCGACCACAAAUGAAAAUCAAUGGCAAAUAAGUUACAUUCAAAAUAAAAAAAAUUGUGUCUUUUUUUUAAAGCUAGACUUCCCAAUGCAGGUCAUCAAAAAUAAAGUGCCCUACUUUUCUCUUUUACCUGGAUUAAGAUCAAGUUUUCCUACUCAGAAUUAGCCCUCCAUUGAAGUGGCUCAAAAGUCCUUCUCCUGUGAUAUACAGUACAGGGCAUUUAGUUUCCUACAUAAUUAGCAUCGAUAGGCACUAAUGCAUUUGCUCAUUCUAAAAGUUCUUAAACUCUCCGAUCUAUGCAAUGUGGGCUUCAUUUGACUUCAUUUCAACUAAAACCAGAGCAUUUUGGUGUUUAGUCUUUAAGAUUGCAAGAGCAUUAGAUGGAAACGCUGCUAUAAACGGUCACAUGUCUUUUUUGAUCUGAUUGGGUUAGAGCAUAUUUAUGGUUUGGUUUGAUUUUUUUAAAGCAAAAAUACAUAUCAAUGCCAAUAAAUCUCUGGUUCCAGCUUCUUAAUUCAGAGGAUUUGUUAUUGUUCCCUGUCAUAUAAUAGCAAUGCAAACAUAACAUCUCUUAAUCAAACAAAACAAGAUACUGGGAGACAUCACGUUAGUACACUAUUUUUUUUUUUUUUUUUAAGUUGUAUACGGCAAAAGUGAAAAUAUUUGCCCUCAUCUGAAGUAAUCUGCUUUUCUACUUUUGUUUUUUUAAUUGUCUUUUGGAAAGUGCAAAAAUAAACGUGUGCCAUUACUGGAUAUCUUAUUUUCAUAUCAUGUUUAACUGCUUAAUUUUUACUUUCACAUUCAGUAGUUGCAUCAAUCUUUGGACUUAUUUUACGAUUGCAUGUCUCAAACGAUUGUCUAUAUGGCUUCAUAUAAAUUAGGCGACAUUGAAAUAUUAAAUACAUUUUCUAUUAUAUUAUAUUUCACUACUUCCACGUAUAUUCUGCAUUCUUAUAAUCCCACUAUUACUUUAGGAUACGCCACUUCACAAGAGACAUUAACAUUCGAGCCAACAGUUGUAACUAGGCACUCAACUGCUGAACAUGAAUAGGAUUACUUAGGGUACAAAUAUCUAAAUGUUUACACGGUAAAUCAUAAAAAAUAUUAUUGCAUAAAGAGCAAUAACAGUAUAUCUAACUAGAGUGUAAAAUGUAUGAUUUCACCAGCUGUAAAUAAUAUCCUUUGGUUGUGUUAUCAAGCGUUAUUGUUCCCGCUAAAUGGCCCCAACUUUUAACAUUUGAA